UGGGGAAUAUUUCGCAAUGGGCGAAAGCCUGACGCAGCGACGCCGCGUGAGGGAUGAAGGUUUUCGGAUCGUAAACCUCUGUCAGAAGGGAAGAAACCGCACUGUGCUAAUCAGCAGUGCCUUGACGGUACCUUCAAAGGAAGCACCGGCUAACUCCGUGCCAGCAGCCGCGGUAAUACGGAGGGUGCAAGAGUUAAUCGGAAUUACUGGGCGUAAAGCGCACGUAGGCUGCUUUGUAAGUCAGGGGUGAAAUCCCACGGCUCAACCGUGGAACUGCGUUUGAUACUGCAUAGAUUGAAUCCGGGAGAGGGUGGCGGAAUUCCAGGUGUAGGAGUGAAAUCCGUAGAUGUCUGGAGGAACAUCAGUGGCGAAGGCGGCCACCUGGACGGGUAUUGACGCUGAGGUGCGAAAGCGUGGGGAGCAAACAGG
This 429-nucleotide ribosomal RNA is filed under the name Fusobacteriota bacterium. RNAcentral describes it as "Fusobacteria bacterium partial 16S ribosomal RNA". It matches the Rfam family "Bacterial small subunit ribosomal RNA", at positions 355 to 776 of the family's 1533-position model. The record is from RNAcentral. Lineage: Bacteria; Fusobacteriati; Fusobacteriota.